UCCAUUGGGUCUCUGUGUCAU
RNAcentral lists this non-coding RNA (21 nucleotides) under Arabidopsis thaliana (thale cress). The record is from RNAcentral. Lineage: Eukaryota; Viridiplantae; Streptophyta; Magnoliopsida; Brassicales; Brassicaceae.